Piliocolobus tephrosceles (Ugandan red Colobus) is the source of this 1028-nucleotide RNA transcript. It is a transcript of the gene named adenylate kinase 2, mitochondrial pseudogene, with no coding region annotated. The record is from RefSeq and is a predicted model, not a curated record. The transcript has a single exon. NCBI's taxonomy places the organism in Eukaryota, Metazoa, Chordata, Mammalia, Primates, Cercopithecidae.
UGGUAGCAAUGAGACUUCGGCGGACAUGGCUCCCAGCGUGCCAGCGGCAGAACCCAAGUAUCCUAAAGGCAUCCGGGCUGUGCUGCUGGGGCCUCCCGGGGCCGGUAAAGGCACCCAGGCACCCAGAUUGGCUGAAAACUUCUGUGUCUGCCAUUUGGCUACUGGGGACAUGCUGAGGGCCAUGGUGGCUUCUGGCUCAGAGCUAGGAAAAAAGCUGAAGGCAACUAUGGAUGCUGGGAAACUGGUGAGUGAUGAAAUGGUAGUGGAACUCAUUGAGAAGAAUAUGGAGACCCCCUUGUGCAAAAAUGGUUUUCUUCUGGAUGGCUCCCUCGGACUGUGAGGCAGGCAGAAAUGCUCGAUGACCUCAUGGAGAAGCGGAAAGAGAAGCUUGAUUCUGUGAUUGAAUUCAGCAUCCCAGACUCUCUGCUGAUCCGAAGAAUCACAGGAAGGCUGAUUCACCCCAAGAGUGGCCGUUACUACCAUGAGGAGUUCAACCCUCCAAAAGAGCCCAUGAAAGAUGACAUCACUGGGGAACCCUUGAUUCGUCGAUCAGAUGAUAAUGAGAAGGCCUUGAAAAUCCGCCUGCAAGCUUACCACACUCAAACCACCCCACUCAUAGAGUACUACAGGAAACGGGGGAUCCACUCUGCUAUCGAUGCAUCCCAGACCCCUGAUGUCAUGUUCGCAAGCAUCCUAGCAGCCUUCUCCAAAGCCACAUCCUAGUAUCAGAACGCCAGGUGAGACUACACCACUGCUCAUCACCCUGCGGCGUGAUCCCUGCUUUUAGGUGCUGGGCAGAAGGGAAGGGUGGUCAGGGUGAGGAUGGUGAGGGAGGGCUGGUGAGGGGCUCAAAGGAAUAGUUGGAACAACAGCAGUGUUACUGUAGUGUGGCAGUUUCUUUUAUACAUAGGUGGGAGUUUUUAAAGUGUAAGGGAAAAAUUAAUUUUUUAAAAAAUACCAUGCUUGGAGGGUGGGGGUAGAAAUAGAGAGAUACAGUAUUAUUUCUAAGGAAUCAGGUUUUCAUUUAC